UCGCUGGGCGUCCACGGCUCCUCGCGGUUGUGUUCUGGAGAGCGGGGAGGAGAUGGGGGGGUGACUGGGUGAGGGAUGGGGGGAGCGGAGAGCAGCACGGAGCACCUGCUCAGGGGCAGACCUCCCGCGUGGCCGCGGCCAACGCCUGCGCCGCUGCUGCCCAGCUGCUCCGGUCAAGACCGCCUACGUGGACUCGACGUCGUCAUCCUUCUCCGGCGCGAAGAGGCUGCGAGGCGGCGCGCGGGUGCCGGAGGGGCACGAGCCGGUGUUCGUCGGCGGAGGGAGGGCACGUGGAGCUUCGCCGUACGCGUCGAGCUCCAGGGUCAGCCGACGUUCGCGGUGUUGCUCCAGCACGCCGCCCGGGAGUACGGAGGCAACCACCCGUGCGUGCCCGCAUCACCUGCGUUGUCGCUGACUCGCGGGUCAUUUUGCAUCAGUGCUCGUCGGCGACGAGGUUGGUCGCUUUGCGUGCAAUCUGUCUGUGUGCAGCCAUCCCAUUGUGUUGGGGCGUUUGAUUUGUUAACAUGUGCUUGCUGUUGGAACUCUUUCCUCCGGAGACGAAUUGGUGAUUGUUGAGGGGGUGAUAUGUAGAGAGGGAAGUUUGGAGGAAGGACCAGAGAAACAUGCCCAAGGAAUUCAUCGACGAGUCACCCUUGUCAAAAAUAAAAUCAUUCUUGUGGUGCCAAGCUCUCCAAAGCAAGAGCAUGAUGCAAGCAGUAGUCUUUAUGUCAUUUGUAUCUAGGAGGACCCUUUUUUUUAGCAGGGGAUCACUAGGAAAUGGUGUCUAUGUGUCAGCAGGUUCGUGCUCUUCUGUUCGUUAUGUUCUCGCCAUAUCUUAUUGUUAACAGUAGGAAAACAUAAGUAAUAAGUUUUCCAGUGUAUUUGCGAUUUUUUUUGUUGGAGGGUGGCUGGGCUGGACCAAGGUUUCAACAUAAAACGUCAAAGACAAGUGCAAGGAGGGGAUUCAUUGAGGUUAGCAUUCAUGCCCAUCAUCAACCGUUCCUGCUCCUAUCUCCUUUUUUUUUCUCCUGAUAUUACUUUGUGUUGGCUUGUACAGACGACUUUUUAGCUUGGUAGUUAGCAAGCUUCAAUUACAGUUCCAAUUCCAUAGUUCAGCCGGUCCUUAAUUCAAAGGUUCAAAAGUGUAUCUGGGUAUUGCAUGUAGCACACGAUGUGCAAGUCGGUGUUUUUAUGAGAUGCAUAUGCAUUUAUUUUUUGUCUACGGUUUAUGAAUGCUUGCCCCAAUCUGUCUGUUUUUCUCAAUUGCCCUUAGUUCACCAUGCGCAAUCGGAUCUCAAACGAAACGCAAUUGCAUUUGCCUUUGACCGGAAUUGCAAACCUGUAAUUUGGUGCCCAAUUUUUUUUCUUGUUGACUCUUGUUGUUGUCGAGACAAUGGAAGCUUUUCUGGUAUCUUUUGUCUGGAUUUUUCCUAGGUUCGAAUUGCAAAUUCUGAAGAUGAUGGCAUUUUGAGUUCAUUCUAUGGAAUUUUUACUUGGCUAGUGUAGUGUUGUUUUUAUCUGGCAUGCAGGGGCCCUAUAUCUGUAUGACGGUUAGAUGGCUGCAGUUAUGCUUUCUAAUUCUUUUGACAAGGGAAGCUACAGGACCACUUGAGUCAGCAAUGAACAGGUACACUUCAUUUUGCCUUUUUGUGUUAUGCUAUCUCUGCCUUUGUGUAUCCAUUUAUUUUUUGGCCCUUAUUUGGUAAUCAAGAUUUAUGUGUUUAGAUACAAAGUGCACCUUCCUGAGUUUAAUGAUAUAGAUUUCUGGGCAUUUCUGUUUUCUUUCUUUAAUUGUGUGUACCUUACUAUGUGCAAUCGAAUAUUUUUAUGAAAUGACAGUGGAUCAUUGGCGUAAUGAACCCAAAAUCCGUCCCUCUUUUUAAUGUAUCUCAAUGGCAUGUAGCUUACUUUGCGCAAUCAGGUUUCAUAUGAGUUGCAAGUGCAUUUGUGAGACAUUAGAAUUGCACAAGAGUAAUUCUCAAAUCGUAUGUGUCGAUUUCUGGAAUUCAUAUGAUUUUUUGCACUUAGCUCACUAUGCGCAAUCGGGUGUCAUACGAAAUGCAAUUGCAUUUUCCUUUGACUCGAAUUGCAACCCUGUAAUUUGGCGUCCCAUUUUUUCGUCAAUUCUUUGUUGUUAUCAGGAGCAUGCAAGCUUUGCUGGUUUGUUUUUUGUCUGAAUUUUUCAUUGGUUUCAAAUUACAAAAUCUGGAACUGCAAACCUAUAAUUGCAUCCCCAGAUUUUUGUACCUUGUCUAUUCUGAAUGCGCAAUCUGAUACUCAAUCUGGUCCGCAUUUUCUGUUACUGUCCAGAAAAUGGGAAGCUUGUCUGGGAUCUCUUUGUCUGACUUUGCCCCAUUUUGUCGGCGUCGUAUCCUGUGAAUCCCUCAUCGAGGUGCACUCCUGCAUCCCACGCAUCACAGCAGGCCGAUUUUCAUCGUGCGCGUGUGUUCACUAUUAGAAUUUUUUGCAAUUAAACGCCCGCUUCCGUCCCUCUUUGCAAACCAGCCCUCCAUACUUUCGGAGGAACCAAUCCCGUCUUCCCCUGCAAAAAGCCCCAUGGCUCUCUCCACUGCGCUCGCCGUCGCCGUUGCCCCCGUGCUCGCCAUUGCCGUCGACCCGGAGCAGAUCCGUCAUCGCCCCAGAGCGAUCUGCCGACGACCUUGCUCCUGCGCUCACUGCCGCCCUGUCCAGGUCUCUGGCCGGCCCUCCGCCCGUCCGCAACUUUGCUAGGGCUUGACGCCAAGGCCGCCGCCAGCCACAACUUCCCUGCCGCUUCACUUGCACAACCAGACCCCUCCACCUGACGAUGCCGGCCUACUGCAGACUCGCGUGGGCAGGAAGUACAGCCUGAGGUUCCUUGCAGAGCAACGAUGACCACCUCACUGAAUUUUCUUGUUCUUGUUUAAUGUAUCUAGUACUAGCAGAUUGACCUCCUCCCAAAUGUGGUUUGUGAGCUUGUAAGCUCCUGGAGAUCUUCACUCCUAGAGUGUAACUGCCGGCUGUGUUUCAGCUCUCUGAAGUUUUUUUGUAAUCUUGCUCAGUUGGGUGUAACUGAGGUUGUUUUCAGUUUUUGACUGAAGAUAAUAUGCUACAUCUGUAGCAUUUUGUAGCUUUGGUCCUUGUAGCUCUUUAGCUCCGGCUGGUAUGCUGCUUCUGUAGCAUUUGCAGGCUCUCCCUGCACUUUGUAACUCCCCUGUACUCCUCUCUUCUUGCUUAAUAUUGAUUUUCAGAAACAAGUGACUGCAAGUUGUUGUGAAUGGAAAUUUCAGAUGGAAACAUAUUCUUA
Brachypodium distachyon (stiff brome) is the source of this 3286-nucleotide long non-coding RNA. RefSeq lists it as uncharacterized. The transcript is spliced from 4 exons. The record is from RefSeq and is a predicted model, not a curated record. Lineage: Eukaryota; Viridiplantae; Streptophyta; Magnoliopsida; Poales; Poaceae.